UGGGGAAUUUUGGACAAUGGGCGAAAGCCUGAUCCAGCAAUGCCGCGUGUGUGAAGAAGGCCUUCGGGUUGUAAAGCACUUUUGUCCGGAAAGAAAUCCUUGGCUCUAAUACAGUCGGGGGAUGACGGUACCGGAAGAAUAAGCACCGGCUAACUACGUGCCAGCAGCCGCGGUAAUACGUAGGGUGCAAGCGUUAAUCGGAAUUACUGGGCGUAAAGCGUGCGCAGGCGGUUUGCUAAGACCGAUGUGAAAUCCCGGGCUCAACCUGGGAACUGCAUUGGUGACUGGCAGGCUAGAGUAUGGCAGAGGGGGGUAGAAUUCCACGUGUAGCAGUGAAAUGCGUAGAGAUGUGGAGGAAUACCGAUGGCGAAGGCAGCCCCUGGGCCAAGUACUGACGCUCAUGCACGAAAGCGUGGGGAGCAAACAGGAUUAGAUACCCUGGUAGUCCACGCCCUAAACGAUGUCAACUAGUUGUU
This 476-nucleotide ribosomal RNA is filed under the name uncultured bacterium. Its description in RNAcentral is "partial 16S ribosomal RNA". It matches the Rfam family "Bacterial small subunit ribosomal RNA", at positions 355 to 824 of the family's 1533-position model. The record is from RNAcentral.